This 1217-nucleotide ribosomal RNA is filed under the name uncultured Rhizaria. RNAcentral's name for it is "SSU rRNA". It matches the Rfam family "Eukaryotic small subunit ribosomal RNA", at positions 577 to 1805 of the family's 1831-position model. The record is from RNAcentral.
CGGUAAUUCCAGCUCCAAUAGCGUAUACUAAAGUUGUUGCAGUUAAAAAGCUCGUAGUUGGAUUUCUGCGGGGACGGAGCGGCCGGUCGCAACUUGCGACUCGAGCUAGCGCUUUCCCCGCAUCCUGCCGCGAACCGUGCUACCAUUAGUUUGGUGGCGCUGGGGAUCGGCUCGAUUACUUUGAGAAAAAUAGAGUGUUCAAAGCAGGCCACACGCCUUGAAUAAGUUAGCAUGGAAUAAUGACUAAGGACUUUGGUCCUUUUCGUUGGUGUUCGGGACUGGAGUAAUGAUUGAUAGGGACAGUUGGGGCGGUCCGUAUUCCAAAGCGAGAGGUGAAAUUCUUAGACCUUCGGAAGACGAACAGCUGCGAAAGCGUUCCGCAAGGAUGUUCCCUUUGAUCAAGAACGAAAGUUGGGGGAUCGAAGACGAUCAGAUACCGUCGUAGUCUCAACUAUAAACUAUACCAGCUAGGGAUCGGCCAACGUUUAAUUAUUCGACUUGGUCGGCACCUUAUGAGAAAUCAAAGCAUCUGGGUUCCGGGGGGAGUAUGGUCGCAAGGCUGAAACUUAAAGGAAUUGACGGAAGGGCACCACCAGGCGUGGAGCCUGUGGCUUAAUUUGACUCAACACGGGAAAACUUACCAGGUCCAGACAUAGGAAGAAUUGACAGAUUGAUAGCUCUUUCUUGAUUCUGUGGGUGGUGGUGCAUGGCCGUUUUUAGUCGGUGAAGUGAUUUGUCUGCUUAAUUGCGUUAACGGACGAGACCCCAGCCUGCUAAAUAGCGCGGCCGAGCUUUGCUCGGUACGAGCUUCUUAGAGGGACCAUGAUGCGCGAUAGCACAAGGAAGCUUGGGGCAACAACAGGUCUGUGAUGCCCUUAGAUGUUCUGGGCCGCACACGGGCUACACUGGCGCCUGCACCGAGCAUAUCAGCUGGCCCGAGAGGGUCUUGGCUAAUCUUUGGAACCGGCGCCGUGCUUGGGAUUGACCAUUGCAAUUGUUGGUCAUGCAACGAGGAAUGCCUUGUAAACGCGAGUCAUCAGCUCGCAUUGAAUACGUCCCUGCCCUUUGUACACACCGCCCGUCGCUCCUACCGAUGAAUGUUCCGAUGAAAUUUUCGGAGAGCGCCGGAGAACGGGGCUCUGCCCUGCAGAACUGGAGGCUCAAAGUCACUUAAAUCUGAACAUUUCGAGGAAGGAGAAGUCGUAACAAGGUAGCCG